GUUUUUGCUCUUCCUCCUCAUCUUUCAUCUUUUCCCAAAUCAAACGCACCCCAUACCUAAUGGAACACACAAAAUACUUCCUCCCAAAUCUAUCAGAAAAAGUGAAGUACUCAUUCGAUUGGAUUUUUAACGAAACCCCUUACUCCUGUUAUUGCUUUAUCUCCGUCUAAAGAGGAAUACAACAGUAUCGAUUUAAUCGCAGGAGGAAAAAGCAAGAGAACCAAAAGGACAACACCAAAAUCCAAUGAUAUCUACUUGAAACUUCUUGUCAAGGUUUUGUAAGUGAGCGCGAGACGAAGGGAUCUCUGCUUAUUGCAACGUGGAGGGUUAAACCAACAAAGAACGAGAGUAAUUGAACUUAUCCUGCAUCCGAAUCUUUGUAAGAUGAUAGAACAUAGAAAGUUUCCCGCUUGUGUAUUCGUCGUCUUGAGAGCUUGCUGAAUAUUACCUUAUCCAAUUUUUGUAUUUUCAUGGCGGCAUGUAUUUGAUAGCGUACCACAUGACUGACUAUCAAAAUCAAUGUUCUUCAUCAACACUUUGGUGGUGUUUGUCUUGGUGGUUGCCAAAUUCCCGAACAUUCUAAAAGUCCGCAUCUUUGGAAUAAAUGCAGAACAGUGAGAGAUGGAGCAUGCUGUAUAAGCAAGUUGUUUGGUGAUCUUAGUGCUCAUCCCAUCAUCGUAGAUGACAACUGAAUAAGAAGGUUACAUGAAGAACAUUGAAUUAUGAUGGGAUUCAUCUUAGCAUCAAGUCCCUACGGAGAGAUUUCGACCUUUGGAAUAAUUUUCCAUAUCAGAACUUUGCAACUUUUUUAGUGCAUAACAGUACAGAGGGAAAUAAGGUAGUUGAUGACCGAGCCGGUUUAUACUUGACAUCUGAUUAUGGAUCCUCUCUAUCUAUUUUGCUGAGGACCAAGGACUGCAAUGGUUCAUCUUUGAUGAUGCCUCUGAGUUACUUUUUGUCUGGU
Long non-coding RNA from Papaver somniferum (opium poppy), 964 nucleotides. RefSeq lists it as uncharacterized. The record is from RefSeq and is a predicted model, not a curated record. The transcript has 5 exons. Lineage: Eukaryota; Viridiplantae; Streptophyta; Magnoliopsida; Ranunculales; Papaveraceae.